Molecule: unclassified non-coding RNA, 108 nt
Organism: Panthera pardus (leopard)
Lineage: Eukaryota; Metazoa; Chordata; Mammalia; Carnivora; Felidae
Gene: 7SK
Rfam family: 7SK RNA
About the family: 7SK was discovered as an abundant small nuclear RNA in the mid-70s but a possible function has only recently been suggested. Two independent studies have found that 7SK RNA binds the CDK9/cyclin T complex (known as elongation factor P-TEFb).
Source: Ensembl
GGAUUUGAGGAUGAUCUGGCUGUGGCAUCUGUCAUCUUACAGAUUGCCAGGGUUGAUUUGGCUGGUAGGACCAGCGCAGCAGCUGUCUCCUUCUUCCCUCAUGACUUC